Molecule: transfer RNA, 72 nt
Filed under: Candidatus Falkowbacteria bacterium CG_4_10_14_0_2_um_filter_48_10
Lineage: Bacteria; Candidatus Falkowiibacteriota
Also listed under: 1 other name
Description: tRNA-Cys
Rfam family: tRNA
About the family: Transfer RNA (tRNA) molecules are approximately 80 nucleotides in length. Their secondary structure includes four short double-helical elements and three loops (D, anti-codon, and T loops). Further hydrogen bonds mediate the characteristic L-shaped molecular structure. tRNAs have two regions of fundamental functional importance: the anti-codon, which is responsible for specific mRNA codon recognition, and the 3' end, to which the tRNAs corresponding amino acid is attached (by aminoacyl-tRNA synthetases). tRNAs cope with the degeneracy of the genetic code in two manners: having more than one tRNA (with a specific anti-codon) for a particular amino acid; and 'wobble' base-pairing, i.e. permitting non-standard base-pairing at the 3rd anti-codon position.
Source: RNAcentral
GGUCCAGUAGCCAAGUGGUAAGGCAACGGUCUGCAAAACCGUUAUUCACCGGUUCGAAUCCGGUCUGGACCU